This 159-nucleotide ribosomal RNA is filed under the name Paraleptosphaeria polylepidis. RNAcentral's name for it is "Leptosphaeria polylepidis 5.8S ribosomal RNA". It matches the Rfam family "5.8S ribosomal RNA". From Rfam's summary of the family: 5.8S ribosomal RNA (5.8S rRNA) is a component of the large subunit of the eukaryotic ribosome. It is transcribed by RNA polymerase I as part of the 45S precursor that also contains 18S and 28S rRNA. The record is from RNAcentral. Lineage: Eukaryota; Fungi; Ascomycota; Dothideomycetes; Pleosporales; Leptosphaeriaceae.
AAACUUUCAACAACGGAUCUCUUGGUUCUGGCAUCGAUGAAGAACGCAGCGAAAUGCGAUACGUAGUGUGAAUUGCAGAAUUCAGUGAAUCAUCGAAUCUUUGAACGCACAUUGCGCCCCUUGGUAUUACCAUGGGGCAAGCCUGUUCGAGCGUCAUUU